Gavialis gangeticus (Gharial) is the source of this 858-nucleotide long non-coding RNA. RefSeq lists it as uncharacterized. The record is from RefSeq and is a predicted model, not a curated record. Lineage: Eukaryota; Metazoa; Chordata; Crocodylia; Gavialidae. The transcript has 2 exons.
GGUCAGAACGACCUGACGCGAGGCAUUUAGCUGUGAUCAGUACACAGGAAACAGGAGUGUGAUGAAUUCAUGCCUACUCCCUCUCUGUAUCCAGGAUUCAAGCAAACAUCCACAUAGAUACAGAGGCUCUUUGCCUCUUUGGAAACCCCACACUCAAGCUUUGCUCUUCUCCAUGGCAGAAAAGAGGAUGCUUUGGUUUGCUGCCUUCCUUAUACUCCUGGCUGUUCCAGGCAAUGCCCAGGGAUCCAAACACAUCUGUAGAACUGCAGGGGGUCAGUGCCGGAUGGGAACCUGCCUUUCGGGUGAAGUCAGGAUUGGGGACUGUUUUAGCCCCGUAAUCCUAUGCUGCAAAAAGUACCCAGUGCGCAAGACAACCAGAGAAUUGCAAAGAGGUGCCUGAUCCUUCGGCAAUGGUCUCUUCUGUUCCCCUCUCACGCGAGGCGGCAACUUUGUGUGUUUUGAAUUGCGUGCAGUAGACCUGUGUGUUUUCUAAAGGAGAUGUUGUGCCUUUCUGUGCUUGUUCUCUUGGCUCUUCACUGCCAGGUGUCAGCUGAGAGUCCAUCAGCCCCAUAUCCAAGCUGCCCAUCCUGGCCUGAGGAACAAAAUCAGAGCUGCAAUGGUCUUCCCUUGGCUUGGAACCUCCCAGGGGGCCAAGGCAUGGAGCCACCAUGACACGUGCGUGUGUGUGUGUGUGUGCGUGUGUGCACGUGUUUAUCCUGAUUGCCUCCCAAACGCUGUCACUAGAUUACGUGUGUGUGACCUCAGGGGUAGGGAAAGCCUUGUAGCCAUUAGCCUCAGGUCAGUGUCCAUGCUUCUUAUCUUCCUGUGUGGAAAGCAAUAAAUGUGGAGUUUAACAGA